CUGAGUACGGCGGAACACGUGAAAUUCCGUCGGAAUCCGGGAGGACCAUCUCCCAAGGCUAAAUACUCCCUAGUGACCGAUAGUGAACCAGUACCGUGAGGGAAAGGUGAAAAGCACCCCGGAAGGGGAGUGAAACAGUUCCUGAAACCGUGUGCCUACAAGUAGUUAGAGCCCGUUAAUGGGUGAUAGCGUGCCUUUUGUAGAAUGAACCGGCGAGUUACGAUUUGUUGCAAGGUUAAGCGGAAAAAGCGGAGCCGUAGCGAAAGCGAGUCUGAAUAGGGCGCAUAAGUAACAGGUCGUAGACCCGAAACCAGGUGAUCUACCCAUGUCCAGGAUGAAGGUAAGGUAAUACUUACUGGAGGUCCGAACCCACGCACGUUGAAAAGUGCGGGGAUGAGGUGUGGGUAGCGGAGAAAUUCCAAUCGAACUUGGAGAUAGCUGGUUCUCUCCGAAAUAGCUUUAGGGCUAGCCUCGAGGUAAAGAGUCAUGGAGGUAGAGCACUGUUUGGACUAGGGGCCCUUCUCGGGUUACCGAAUUCAGAUAAACUCCGAAUGCCAUGUACUUAUACUCGGGAGUCAGACUGCGAGUGAUAAGAUCCGUAGUCGAAAGGGAAACAGCCCAGACCACCAGUUAAGGUCCCCAAAUAUAUGUUAAGUGGAAAAGGAUGUGGGGUUGCUUAGACAACCAGGAUGUUGGCUUAGAAGCAGCCACCAUUGAAAGAGUGCGUAAUAGCUCACUGGUCGAGUGACCCCGCGCCGAAAAUGUACCGGGGCUAAACAUAUUACCGAAACUGUGGAUGAACCUCUUUAGAGGUUCGUGGUAGGAGAGCGUUCUAAGGGCGGUGAAGUCAGACCGGAAGGACUGGUGGAGCGCUUAGAAGUGAGAAUGCCGGUAUGAGUAGCGAAAGAAGGGUGAGAAUCCCUUCCACCGAAUAUCUAAGGUUUCCUGAGGAAGGCUCGUCCGCUCAGGGUUAGUCGGGACCUAAGCCGAGGCCGAUAGGCGUAGGCGAUGGACAACAGGUAGAGAUUCCUGUACCAGUGCUAAUUGUUUAACCGAUGGGGUGACACAGAAGGAUAGGGAAUCGCACGAAUGGAAAUGUGCGUCCAAGCAGUGAGUGUGAGAAGUAGGCAAAUCCGCUUCUCGCGAAGCAUGAGCUGUGAUGGGGAAGGAAAUUAAGUACGGAAGUUCCUGAUUUCACGCU
This 1201-nucleotide ribosomal RNA is filed under the name Listeria monocytogenes. RNAcentral's name for it is "partial 23S ribosomal RNA". It matches the Rfam family "Bacterial large subunit ribosomal RNA", at positions 408 to 1606 of the family's 2925-position model. Lineage: Bacteria; Bacillati; Bacillota; Bacilli; Caryophanales; Listeriaceae. The record is from RNAcentral.